AGAGAGAGACAUGCGCGCAUAUCAAUAAGCGGAGGAAAAGAAACUAACUAGGAUUCCCUUAGUAACGGCGAGUGAAGCGGGAAGAGCUCAAAUUUGAAAUCUUCAGGUUCUACCUUGACGAAUUGUAGUUUAUAAGAAGUGUUUUCUGUUAGUGUAUUGGCUAAAAGUUCUUUGGAAUAGGACAUCAUAGAGGGUGAGAAUCCCGUAUUUGGUCAUUCCUCCUAGCGUUGUGAUACACUUUCAACGAGUCGGAUUGUUUGGGAAUGCAGUCCAAAAUGGGUGGUAAAUUUCAUCUAAAGCUAAAUAUUGGCGAGAGACCGAUAGCGAACAAGUACCGUGAGGGAAAGAUGAAAAGAACUUUGAAAAGAGAGUUAAACAGUACGUGAAAUUGUCAAAAGGGAAGCGUUUGACACCAGUGUUGUUUUCUCCGAAAAUCAAUUACGAAUGUUUUAUUUUUGAGGAGUUAUGACUUCAUCGGCUUGCUCCUUUCUUUAUGAAACUUUCUUAAUGCACUUUUCGGUUAACAAGUCAACAUCAAUUUCUUUUGUUGUAAAAGGGUAUGAGGAAGGUGGCUUUCUUUUCGGAGAAAGUGUUUAUAGCCUUGUGCCUCUGCAAUCGGAGAGAUUGAGGUCUGCAGCGUAGAUCCUUCGGGGUUAGAUACGUUUGUGCUAAGUUAUAGCUUUUCAGUAGACAACUUGUUGACUAUGUUUAGUCCUGUAGCUUACUCGCUUACUGCUAUUUUACCUACGCUUAGGAUGUUGAUAGUCACAGCGUGUAC
RNAcentral lists this ribosomal RNA (778 nucleotides) under uncultured Neocallimastigales. Its description in RNAcentral is "partial large subunit ribosomal RNA". It matches the Rfam family "Eukaryotic large subunit ribosomal RNA", at positions 23 to 643 of the family's 3401-position model. Lineage: Eukaryota; Fungi; Neocallimastigomycota; Neocallimastigomycetes; Neocallimastigales. The record is from RNAcentral.